RNAcentral lists this ribosomal RNA (253 nucleotides) under uncultured bacterium. Its description in RNAcentral is "partial 16S ribosomal RNA". It matches the Rfam family "Bacterial small subunit ribosomal RNA", at positions 524 to 776 of the family's 1533-position model. The record is from RNAcentral.
UACGGGGGGGGCAAGCGUUGUUCGGAAUUACUGGGCGUAAAGGGCGCGUAGGCGGUCCGCUAAGUUGGAUGUGAAAACUCUGGGCUUAACCCAGAGCCUGCAUCCAAAACUGGCAAACUUGAGUACUGGAGGGGAAAGCGGAAUUCCUGGUGUAGCGGUGAAAUGCGUAGAUAUCAGGAGGAACACCGGUGGCGAAGGCGGCUCUCUGGACCGAUACUGACGCUGAGGCGCGAAAGCGUGGGGAGCAAAUAGG